Strigops habroptila (Kakapo) is the source of this 406-nucleotide long non-coding RNA. RefSeq lists it as uncharacterized. The transcript is spliced from 3 exons. NCBI's taxonomy places the organism in Eukaryota, Metazoa, Chordata, Aves, Psittaciformes, Psittacidae. The record is from RefSeq and is a predicted model, not a curated record.
ACUUCCGCCGCUCCGCGCCCAAGAUGGCGGCGGGCGGCGGCCCCUCUCGCGCCGGGGACAGGCCCCGCCCCUCGCCCCGCCCCCUCCCGCCGCGCGCCGCGAGCGCGGGGGGGGGGAGGGGCGGCGGCGGGAGCGUCCGGCUGUUCCGGGGACCCGCCCCCUCCCCCCGCGGCGCGCGUGCGCGGGCGCGUGCUCUCGGCCUGGAACAGCCUCAAAUACGGGUUUCCGGUUCGGCCCCGGAGCCACGUGACCCGCGGGUCCCCCCUGCACGUGCUGGGGCGCGAGUACAGCCCCGCGCGCGAGGAGGAGCUGCGCGGGUUCUCGCGGGACGUGCGCUCGCGGCUGUGGCUCUCGUACCGCCGCGGCUUCCCCGCGCUGCGCUCCUGGAGCAGCGAUGGCGGCUGGG